Molecule: long non-coding RNA, 1283 nt
Filed under: Gossypium barbadense (sea-island cotton)
Lineage: Eukaryota; Viridiplantae; Streptophyta; Magnoliopsida; Malvales; Malvaceae
Description: long non-coding RNA (GBAR_LNC008014)
Source: RNAcentral
CGUCUUGUAAAUUCCUAGUCAAAUGUUCAAUGAACUUGUCUAUUGGUAAUUAAUGAUGGAAGUUUGGAUACGUACGUGAUUUUUAAGCAGCACGAUUCGGCUAUGAAAGAGUAUUGGUAUAAUGUGUGUAAUGGGCCAAUUUAGUCCGGGCCCGGAUAAACACAAAACCAAAAAAUAAUAAACAAAAAUAUAUUAACAGUCCAAUAAAAGUCCAUCAGUCCAAGUUACAUAACCUAAUUUCAAACCCAAAUACAGGCCCGAUAGGCCCAAAAUUUUUUACAACUUUGGAACCCUAGGUCUCUCUCUUCGCGCCGCCGCCCUCAGUCGCCGUACAGCCCCAACGCCGCUCAUGCCUCCACGUCAACAGCCCUUGCACGCCAGUACAGCUUCGUACACAUGCCACGCAUCUGUACCUGCGAAAAGAAACAAAAGACAGCAACGAGAAUGGCAGCUAAUAGGAAAUUAUUUUGUAUUUUUCUCUUUUGGGUUUUCUUUCUGGCUAUAAAUCCAAUGAUUCAAUCUUUGUAAUGGUUACUGACGAAGGCAACAAAAAACGAAUACGAAAAAGAGAAUACAAAAACAAUACAAAGCAAAGAAGGUGAUUUUUUUCGAACGCCUUGUGCUCUUUUUUUUUUCGCAUCUAUUUCAUUUUUCUUUCGUGUUUCAUAUGUUUUCUGCAUAAUAUAAUAAAAAAGGAAGCAUACCUUCAAACGAGCCAUCGGGGACCAUCUCUUCUUUGUCGAAAUCGAAGCUUGAGAUGGGUUUUCGGGCUAAAAAUCUUACCUUUCGAGGUGAGGCUUAGAGUAGGAGAAUGAAACGACUCUAUGGGGAGCCACCGUCCAUCAAUUUCAAUGGUGGAAUGGGGCAGUCGAAUGGUCAAAUGGGGGGAUGGGAAAACCCUAAAAUUUGCUGUGUUGAAACCCUAAGAAUUGGGUCUGCUACUUAUGGUGAAAAAAAAGGGGAAUAGUAAGCUGCCAUUCAAUGGCUUUUAGUUUCAAAUAUUAAGCAAAACGGUACCGUGUAAGAAGGGUGGGGCGAGCCUUUUGCGCCUAAAAUGGUCUAUUUAUGCAACAAGUCCUUCCCCUUUCGCAUAGCCCUCAAUUUGUGUCCAAUUUGCCUACCUUGUGUUUUAAAAUUAGCCCUGUAAUUUGCGCGUGUUUGCGUUUUGGUCCGUGUCUCUACUCUGCAUUUUAGAACUUGGGUUAUUUCCAAUUCUAGUCCUUUUACAUUGAUGCGCAUCACACGUUGGCCCUCUUUUGAUUAUUUUAUUUAUAAAUUAGCCC